GACGAACGCUGGCGGCGUGCUUAACACAUGCAAGUCGAACGAUGAACCCGGAGCUUGCUCUGGGGGAUUAGUGGCGAACGGGUGAGUAACACGUGAGUAACCUGCCCUGGACUCUGGGAUAAGCGUUGGAAACGACGUCUAAUACCGGAUAGGACCUUGGAUCGCAUGAUCUGGGGUGGAAAGUUUUUUCGGUCUGGGAUGGACUCGCGGCCUAUCAGCUUGUUGGUGAGGUAAUGGCUCACCAAGGCGUCGACGGGUAGCCGGCCUGAGAGGGUGACCGGCCACACUGGGACUGGGACACGGCCCAGACUCCUACGGGAGGCAGCAGUGGGGAAUAUUGCACAAUGGGCGAAAGCCUGAUGCAGCAACGCCGCGUGCGGGAUGACGGCCUUCGGGUUGUAAACCGCUUUUAGUAGGGAAGAAGGGCUUCGGCUUGACGGUACCUGCAGAAAAAGGACCGGCUAACUACGUG
Molecule: ribosomal RNA, 472 nt
Filed under: uncultured bacterium
Lineage: Bacteria
Description: partial 16S ribosomal RNA
Rfam family: Bacterial small subunit ribosomal RNA
Source: RNAcentral